This is an RNA transcript of Arabidopsis lyrata subsp. lyrata, 920 nucleotides long. RefSeq lists it as uncharacterized. Lineage: Eukaryota; Viridiplantae; Streptophyta; Magnoliopsida; Brassicales; Brassicaceae. The transcript has 3 exons. The record is from RefSeq and is a predicted model, not a curated record.
AUGGAUCGUCGAUCAGGGGUGUUGGUGGAGUCUGGGCAGACCGAGGGUACCCCCCUACUCGGUUCCGGACGUGGGUAGCGAUCGAGGGAUAUUAUCGGGUGGCAUGACCGACAGACUGUCCGACCGCCGACCGCCGGAAUUAUCGCCGGAAAAUUUUUCCGGCGACUUUUCCGGCGAUCGACAUGGGCUGACAUGGAUUCUCCUAGGCCGUGGGUGGCGGUAUAUUCGGAAUGCGCCCGAAAUACCGAGAUGUCCCCAUGGGCAUCGAUUCCACCCGCCUAGGUUGGAUGGGCGUGCUUCGUUGGAAAGCAUGGAUCCGCCUAGGCUGUCCCGAGUUGAGCAAGGUGUGAGUGUCGCCCAUGGGCAUCGACACCUUGCGGCUUUGAACUGAAACGGAGGUACGCGCAGCUGUUACGUCGUGCAGGGUUUCUCGGCGUCACUUCUAGCGGCUUUUGCGGAUGUUCUUGGCAACCAUCUUUUGAUGGGGAAGUGGAUAUCGGCUGGUAGUGACACGAGGCUCCCGGUCUUGUGUGUAUCCUUCGCACUGCGGCUCCGAUAUUCGCAGCCUAGGUUGGAUGGGCGUGCGAAAGCAUGGAUCUGCCUAGGCUGUCUCGACGGUUUUUCGCGCUUGUGCGGCUUUGGCUUGGAUUCGUCCGUCUUCUCUCUUCUCAGCCGAAUAUUUCGGAGGAGUCGGGGAACGAUUGAUGUUUUUGGGUCAAUUGAACGUUCGGCGUAUGAGUGGUGAUCGGAUAGCUAGUGUUUGUAGGCUCCGUGCUCGCGCACCCAACUACUUACCACCUAUCCUUCUCAGUUACUUCACGGGCGAUGUUACGCUCGAUGAUCGGAUCCGGGGCCUGUGUUGCGUACCUAACUAGAAGGUAUUGUUGAGUUUGGUUUACACCUUUGUCCGCGGCAUCUCC